This 254-nucleotide ribosomal RNA is filed under the name uncultured bacterium. RNAcentral describes it as "partial 16S ribosomal RNA". It matches the Rfam family "Bacterial small subunit ribosomal RNA", at positions 524 to 776 of the family's 1533-position model. The record is from RNAcentral.
UACGGGGGGAGCAAGCGUUGUUCGGAUUUACUGGGCGUAAAGGGCGCGUAGGCGGCCAGCACAAGUCAGUUGUGAAAUCUCCGAGCUUAACUCGGAAAGGUCAACUGAUACUGUGCGGCUAGAGUGCGGAAGGGGCAACUGGAAUUCUUGGUGUAGCGGUGAAAUGCGUAGAUAUCAAGAGGAACACCUGCGGCGAAGGCGGGUUGCUGGGCCGAAAUUGACGCUGAGGAGCGAAAGCGUGGGGAGCAAACAGG